UACGGAGGGUGCGAGCGUUGUUCGGAAUCACUGGGCGUAAAGGGCGUGUUGGCGGUCCGCUAAGUCUGAUGUGAAAGCCCGGGGCUCACCCCCGGAAGUGCAUUGGAAACUGGCGGACUCGAGUCCCGGAGAGGAGAGUGGAAUUCCUGGUGUAGCGGUGAAAUGCGUAGAUAUCAGGAGGAACACCGGUGGCGAAGGCGGCUCUCUGGACGGUGACUGACGCUGAGACGCGAAAGCGUGGGGAGCAAACAGG
Molecule: ribosomal RNA, 253 nt
Filed under: uncultured bacterium
Lineage: Bacteria
Description: partial 16S ribosomal RNA
Rfam family: Bacterial small subunit ribosomal RNA
Source: RNAcentral